Molecule: ribosomal RNA, 499 nt
Filed under: uncultured bacterium
Lineage: Bacteria
Description: partial 16S ribosomal RNA
Rfam family: Bacterial small subunit ribosomal RNA
Source: RNAcentral
ACUCAAAUGAAUUGACGGGGACCCGCACAAGCGGUGGAUUAUGUGGAUUAAUUCGAUGCAACGCGAAAAACCUUACCUACCCUUGACAUGUCCGGAAGCCUGGGGAAACCCGGGUGUGCCCGAAAGGGAACUGGAACACAGGUGCUGCAUGGCUGUCGUCAGCUCGUGUCGUGAGAUGUUGGGUUAAGUCCCGCAACGAGCGCAACCCUUGUCAUUAGUUGCUCCAUUCAGUUGAGCACUCUAAUGAGACUGCCGGUGACAAACCGGAGGAAGGUGGGGAUGACGUCAAGUCCUCAUGGCCCUUAUGGGUAGGGCUUCACACGUAAUACAAUGGCGCGUACAGAGGGUUGCGAAGCCGCGAGGUGGAGCCAAUCCCGACAAAGCGCGUCGUAGUCCGGAUUGCAGUCUGCAACUCGACUGCAUGAAGUCGGAAUCGCUAGUAAUCGCGGAUCAGCAUGUCGCGGUGAAUACGUUCCCGGGUCUUGCACACACCGCCCGU